UCGGGAAUUUUGGGCAAUGGGCGAAACCCUGACCCAGCAACGCCGCGUGAAGGAUGAAGUAUUUCGGUAUGUAAACUUCGAAAGAAUAGGAAGAAUAAAUGACGGUACUAUUUAUAAGGUCCGGCUAACUACGUGCCAGCAGCCGCGGUAAUACGUAGGGACCAAGCGUUGUUCGGAUUUACUGGGCGUAAAGGGCGCGUAGGCGGCAUGACAAGUCACUUGUGAAAUCUCUGGGCUUAACCCAGAACGGCCAAGUGAUACUGUCGUGCUAGAGUGCAGAAGGGGCAAUCGGAAUUCUUGGUGUAGCGGUGAAAUGCGUAGAUAUCAAGAGGAACACCUGAGGUGAAGACGGGUUGCUGGGCUGACACUGACGCUGAGGCGCGAAAGCCAGGGGAGCAAACGGGAUUAGAUACCCAUGUAGUCCCUGAGCGGGCUGGCAAGGCGCAU
Molecule: ribosomal RNA, 447 nt
Filed under: uncultured bacterium
Lineage: Bacteria
Description: bacterial SSU rRNA
Rfam family: Bacterial small subunit ribosomal RNA
Source: RNAcentral